UAAAACCGAUUCUGCAGUUGCAGAGCAGAUUCAGCAGUUCGAACCGGUGGAGAAAAUCCAGAUCAGCUCUGAAAUAUUCCAACAUGGCUCCAUUUUCACUCCUUCAAAACUCUUUGAGCAGCUGAACCCGGUCAGCGCCGGUCGCCCCGAUUCCCUCCGAAUAAUGAGGCGCCGAAAAUAACUGGACAAACCGGCCGACAGGAAGCCCGAUAUCCGACUGAGAGCCUGAGACACUGCAAAAACUCAAUCGUAGAAAUUACACCGGCUAAUCAAAGCUUUGAUGUCGGAGGUCAGAGGGGAGGAUCUGUUUCACCGGGUUCAGGGAUCUGUCAAAGAAAUCCACCAGCAUGGAGCAAAAAUGAAAAAGCUUCAGAUCUGCUGAGCAGAAACCAGACGAGGUUUAAUCUCCAGGCCAUCGAUUAAAUCAACAGGUGAAGAUUCGUUUACUGUCAGAUCACUGAUAAAUUAUUGAUCCCAACAAAGAGAAAGAAAUACGAAAAAACGGGAACGACAAGAGAAACUCGCAAAGGAAACUAAAUUUUGUUUAUAUUUUAAGUGGAAUCGUUUAAUUUCACUAUCAGGCCUGAAAUCUGGGAGUAGUGAUGAACUUUGACCUGAACCUUCAGAACCACAUAGAGACGGUUACAAAGUCGGCCUUUUAUCACCUGAAGAACAUUUCCAGAAUUAAAGGAAGAUCUGCUUCAGUA
This is a long non-coding RNA of Poeciliopsis prolifica (blackstripe livebearer), 707 nucleotides long. RefSeq lists it as uncharacterized. The transcript has 2 exons. The record is from RefSeq and is a predicted model, not a curated record. NCBI's taxonomy places the organism in Eukaryota, Metazoa, Chordata, Actinopteri, Cyprinodontiformes, Poeciliidae.